Regulatory RNA element from Filifactor alocis ATCC 35896, 203 nucleotides. It matches the Rfam family "raiA RNA". NCBI's taxonomy places the organism in Bacteria, Bacillati, Bacillota, Clostridia, Peptostreptococcales, Filifactoraceae. The record is from Rfam.
GUCUUGAAGGUCUGUGGUUGAAAGUCCAAGCCAGAUGCAGGCAAAAGGAUCCACGUAAGCCGACCAAAAACGGUUACGGUGAGCAUAGUGCAUCUUAGGAGUAAGACCUGCCGAUUAUAAUCGAGAGGGGUAGUAGUGCGACGAACUCAAGCGAACCUCCCAGCAGGCGAGUGUGGGGGAAAAGACCAGGUCAGCUUCAAGAU